AUCAGCCUUUUGGGUGUGAUUUUGUGGAGUGUGAGGAGCUAAUCGCCUUCAUACCUGUAUAUUCGUGUACUUGGGGUGUACUUAUUCGUGGGGUAAGUUAACAUCAAUUUUGGUGGUCAUAAAAUGACUGGAGGAAUGUAGCUUCGAUCUCGUAUUGAAGUGUUAUAGCCUUCGGUAGAUGUGAUGAUCGAGAUUGAGGAUUGCAAUGGAUACCCUUCGGGGCUACCUGUCUGGUCUCUGAUUGUUGCUCUGGUGCCGAAAGCUUGCUUACGGUUAUCAAAGUCGAUGGUCAAUAGGUUAGAACGGGUUAAAUUCGUUAAGGAUGUUGACGUAAUGGCUUU
This 341-nucleotide ribosomal RNA is filed under the name uncultured Glomeromycotina. Its description in RNAcentral is "eukaryotic LSU rRNA". Lineage: Eukaryota; Fungi; Glomeromycota. The record is from RNAcentral.